Molecule: long non-coding RNA, 1444 nt
Organism: Rosa chinensis
Lineage: Eukaryota; Viridiplantae; Streptophyta; Magnoliopsida; Rosales; Rosaceae
Exons: 6
Source: RefSeq, a predicted model, not a curated record
AGACAGAAAGGUUAUUUGCUUCGCAGAGAGAGAUAAAGAGAGGUGUUGGUUUUCAGUUGUUUGCUUGAUCUGUGCAGAAAGGGUAGAUAAUUUUGUAGCUUUUCGAAAUUGGAGGAGGAAGAACACAGUAUUAAAACAAAUUGAUUGAGAGCUGGGUUGCUUUUGAUCAGUGGUGUACAUAUCAUUUGGGUUACCUCUAGAUAAGCUGCAUAGGUUAGUCAGUACUUCGGUUUCUGAGUUUAAGCUUGCCUUCAAUGAUUGUGGAGCUCUUUUGGGUGACAUUUGAUUUGUAUGAAAUGCUUAUGGUUUAGAGGGGCUCGAUUUUAUAGUGUGAUCUAAGUUUUGAGAAUUUGUAUUUGACUUGAUUCUUGGUAUUAACCAUUUUACACUAAAGAAUUUCACAAAGCGUGAAUCAUGAAUAACAAUGAGAGCAAAGAACCGGUGCCCCCCAAUUCCAUUAAAAACCAGUUGCGUGUGCAGUGAUGGCUUUCAUCACCAUUAGUUUAGUGCUAUUAGAAUACUGAUCAUGCUUAUCUUCAAUUAACUAUAUUAAUCUCAGCAUAGCCAGGUAGAUUAAGAUUUAUGUAUGCUAUAUUUGGGUUUAAUCAUCUCUCAUUUUUGGAAAUCAAAUGGAGCUAAAGCCCUGUUACACUCAUGGACGGACCAGAAUAGUGGCAUCAGGAAGUAAAGCAGUUAUGUUGAGCUAUUGGAUUUUGUGUUUUAUCGUUGUUGUGAUUGUCACAAGUUUGGUUAGAAGCUGAGAUUUUUUCGUACGGUCCGAGUCUUGGUCUCUUUGUAUCCGGCAUAUACCAAUUUCCUUAAAGAAAAAGAAGAAAUAGACAUUGCAGCCUGGUUUUGGUUUCAGUGGGGAUCCCAUCAUUACAACUCAUGCAAGCAAUUAUUGCUGUUGAAAUCAACUUCAGACCAUUUAGAAUAUUACAUACUAGCAAGUAAUAAAAGUUGCAGUUUGUCUCCUUCCUCAUCAAAAGUGAAGUUGAAGGCAUAUGCUGAUCGAGCUUCACGAGGUAGAAGGAGUCGAACAUACAUUCCAUAAUUAAAAGAAACUUCUUCAAAUGCAAGGAAUGUUAGAAAAAAAGAUGAAGCAAUGAGAAGCAGUUCAAGCAACUAAUGCGAGGCUGGCAACAGUGAUGAUAAUUGGCUUAUUCUAAUUUCUUGGACAACUAUGUAUGGAUCCCCACCGAAUAUAGCACUCUUUUAGGUGGAGAUAGGAUUCCUCUGAUCACUAUCAGAGGCAAGAGAUCUGCAAGGAUGAAUAUACCUCCUCUGUGCUCCAUAGCUCUGCUUCUUCUGUUGGUAGAUAUUCAUGUAUUCUUUUUAAUUAUAAGUCAUCCUCAUUUGCAGAGAGAACAGUUGUAGUUUUAUUUUUCUAUUAUUAAAACACCACUUUUUGUAAUAUGUAAAAUCAAAACAGUUUCAAUUAACA